Molecule: ribosomal RNA, 252 nt
Filed under: uncultured bacterium
Lineage: Bacteria
Description: partial 16S ribosomal RNA
Rfam family: Bacterial small subunit ribosomal RNA
Source: RNAcentral
UACGGAGGAUGCGAGCGUUAUCCGGAUUUAUUGGGUUUAAAGGGUGCGUAGGCGGACGCUUAAGUCAGCGGUAAAAUUGCGGGGCUCAACCUCGUCGAGCCGUUGAAACUGGGUGCCUUGAGUGGGCGAGAAGUACGCGGAAUGCGUGGUGUAGCGGUGAAGUGCAUAGAUAUCACGCAGAACUCCGAUUGCGAAGGCAGCGUACCGGCGCCCUACUGACGCUGAAGCACGAAGGCGUGGGUAUCGAACAGG